GUUUUUAAAUGUAUUCUUUAUAUUUUCAAUUUCAUUCCUGUGUCACUUUCCUGGAAAAUCACUAAUAAUAAAAAAAAACCAUGCAACCAAGAGGAACAAUUCAGUGGGCCCUUGAUAUCCAUUGGUGUUCACCUCCAAGAUCCUCGUGGAUACCAAAAUCCAUGAAUGGCCCUUAUACAUACAAUGGUGCAGUAAAAUAGUGUUCUUUAUACAAAAUGGAAAAAUUAAAGAUUUUUAAUUUAAAUAUUUUCAAGCCAUGGAUGGUUGAAUCUGUGGAUACAGAAUCUAGGGAUAUUGAGAGCCAACUUUAAAAGGUAACACAUCAACUUAUUUUGGGGAACCUAUUAAGUGUAACCAUGUACCUCUAUAUAAAGGAAGUCUUACAUGCUCAGAAGACAUUCCUGUUGUUCCUGCAGAUGUACUUUCUCAUGGCUGUUUGAGUGAUCUAUUGGUACAAUUUUUCUUCUAGUUGCAACAGGAAGGACUAGAAAAUUGUUCCAUAACAUCCUGUGAGCAUCUGAAACAUGGGUCACAGGCAUAGCAAGUGGUCAGUACAUUCCAAGCAGAAAAAGACUUUUGCUUCUUCUAACAAGUACAAAGAUAUAGCACCUUCUUGUUCUCCUUAUGCACUGGAGUCACAGAAUGCUUCAGUGAACACCAUGGAAAAUGAUUAUCUUGUGCAAACUAGAGGACAGCCUAAGGAUUUAGAAGGUUAUCACAAUAUUUCACUGUUGACUCAAGAAGCCAUACCUGUUCAACAAAUCUCUGAACCGAUCAUAGAAGAGGCACAAGAAGCAAAUCCUACUGAAUUGGGGCCUCCAUAUAUAAGAGCUCCCUUCCUUUCGGUAGAUGACGAUCAGAACCUACCUAAUGAUUUGGCUUUGGAGGAAUCAGGACUUUACAUAGAAAUAGCUGAUGAGCCGACUGAAAAUGUGGAAGAGGCUGAAAUGACCAAGAUAACUAUCUGGACCAUAGAUGAUGUGGAUUGGGAUGAUGAAGUCAAAAUAGAACUGGAAGAGCAUCCUGAGAGUGUGUUUAAGAUGAAAGGUCAUAAAGACUCAAAGGUUUACUCUAGAAAAAUGUGUUCUUCCAUGUAGGGUCUGUGGUGUAGCUAGGAGAAGAUGCUAAGUGCCUUCAAAAUAUCACCGAGAGCUCAGAUCUUAGGAACCUUCCAUAUUUGACCUGAGAUGAUCCUAGAUUAGAAGCCCAAAUGAUGUUGAUAUUCAUCCUGGAAGAGAUUGUGGGAAAAGUGUUAACAAUGACUUGGUGAGACAGCAUCUCUACUACUAAAACUAGCUAGUCUACUUAGCCUUCCAGCCAGUCAGUUCUUUUACUUAUUUUUCUAUAAUGAUUUUAAAACACAGCCAUGAAUGAGAUAUAUUUCCCUUUGCUUUUAGAGGGAAAGACAUAGUUUCUCUUGAGCUAAGACAAGAGGUUACAUUACAGUCGUCUAAUUGUUGUUGAAAUGCAACUCGUAGCACCUUUAGAUGGUAAAGCCAAUGUGAGGAAUGCUGGGAGUUGUAGUUCAACACAUCUAGUUGGUGUGUAAUUCUUGUGCCUUGCUUAAUAACAUGCUUUCUUGUUGCAUAAAAUAAGUGCUAGAUAUUUUGAUACUAAAGAAUGUGCCCUCACUUGGCUGGAUGCUUUAAUAUCUGGUCUGUGUAACUUUCCCAAACCAGUCGCUGAUUAAUUUGAAACAGAGCUUUUUUAACUAUCUGUCAAUAAAUGCUAUUUUAAAGGUUA
This is a long non-coding RNA of Anolis carolinensis (green anole), 1743 nucleotides long. RefSeq lists it as uncharacterized. Lineage: Eukaryota; Metazoa; Chordata; Lepidosauria; Squamata; Anolidae. The transcript has 2 exons. The record is from RefSeq and is a predicted model, not a curated record.